Long non-coding RNA from Mustela lutreola (European mink), 2935 nucleotides. RefSeq lists it as uncharacterized. Lineage: Eukaryota; Metazoa; Chordata; Mammalia; Carnivora; Mustelidae. The record is from RefSeq and is a predicted model, not a curated record. The transcript has 4 exons.
CAGAUUCAUCUUCAGCAUCUGCUCCCAACACUAGGACCUGCCAGCAGACUUCCCACUUGUGUCCUAGGCCCGGGGUCCCCGGAGUCACACUGAGCUCCUCCAAAGCUGGGACAACUAUCUUGUCUUCAGCCCCACAGGGACUCUGGUCCUCAAUCAGGCAGCGCCCGCCCCCCGGCAGAAUCGUCUAUUGCUCAUGCUGGCCCUGACUUUUGAGGAAGACAUCCAGAACUUUCCUUCGCCUAGAAUCUCCUCCCUCUUCUCCAAGCCCAGGGUCCUUGCCCUGAGUGGUUGCGGUCAGAAUCCAAGCCUUGUGGGCACAUCACACCAGGACUGGAUGGACUUUUUAAAGAUUUUAUUUAUAUAUUUGAGAGAAAGCACGAGCAGAGCAGAGGGAUAAGCAGACUGCCCACUGAGCAGGUAGCCGGAUUCGGGCUCCAUCCCAGGAUCCCAGGAUCAUGACCUGAGCUGAAAGCAGACGCAUAACUAACUGAGCCACCGAGGUGUCCCUCCUUCAAGCUCUUUGCAGUGAACCUGCUCCCGGCAAACAGAACUGUCUAGUGCUAACACUGCCCUUUGCAGCAAAGAUAUUGUGCAAUGAUUCUUCAAUGCUAUCUCAUUACUAUGCUGCACAAAGGCUUGUCUGCACCGCGGCUGGGAGGAACUGCUAGGAGUUGGGGUAGAGAAGGGGGUGAAGGUGCUGAUGGUGGCAAGGAGCACCCCUACCCGACCCCCGCCGCUGGCCCACGGGGGACCUGGACCUAGCAGGUGUUCAGUGAGUGUAUCUUUUCCCCCAGCUUUGGGAUCAUCCCUUGAAUUUUCAAACCAGCCCCAAGGGGAAUAAAGGCUCCUCCCUGACAGGAAAGUCACCCAGCGCCCCACUUGUCAAGGAACAAAGAAGCCAGGACAGACUCCUUUGAAACUCCAGAUCAAGGUCACUCCAGACAGCCCCCUGCCUCUAGGCCACAGCAGGGCCUGGUCAGCUGGGAGGUCCAGCAGGUUCCUCGGGCCCUUUCUGGAUGUACCCCACUCCAGGCUGCGGGUUCCUGGCUUUCCCUAUUACUUUAGGGCUUCCUGCCCCUUACCCAGGGGCCAAGCUCUGUUCAUCGAGAAGAUCUGCGAGCAGCAACACACCAGUUGCAACAAGCACAUCCAGCACCGAGAUCUUAUUUUCAAGAUCUCACCCUCCCCCCCCCAGACAGAUAUCAAGCUCUAUGGAGGAAAAGCAGGUUCCCGGGAGGGGCCAGAGAAAGCACGAGACGAGCCCGAGGUCACCCAGGGAAGGAGUGCCCAGAGAUCGAAGGGACACAAGAGCCGGCAGGGGCUUCUUCUGGCCAAACCUGGGGUAAUUCAAAUAUCCAAAUAAAUGAGCCAUCAGAGAAAAGAGGAAUCGGUGGGUCCCCAGGGCUGUGAACAAAUAAAUGAAUAAAUGAGCAGAAGACAAUGCGUUUCCCUACUUCCCUGCGAAGUAAUAAGGGAAGAAAAAAAUCACCUCUUGGUAACGGGGAUGAGGAGGAUGAUUUCAGGUAGGCGACAUCGAGGGAUGCUUCAACUAGGGCCAUAAGUGAUACAGGGAGUGGAGUUUUCACGUAGUGUUGGAGUAUCUCCCCCCAGAAACUCUGUUCGGACAACAGUAACACAAGACCUUGACGAUGGAGAAAAGUGAGUUGUUCGAAGUUAACACCACCCGUGAGGACGAGCUGACAUUGAGUGGCACCGGAAAGGGGCAGGGAGAGAUCACAGCGUCUCUCCUGUGAUGUCCUCGCCCCCAACAUGCACGGUCCUGGCAUAAUUACCAGGAAACACAGAUAAACCCAAAUCGAGCACCGUUCUACCAAGGGACUGCCCCGUUCUCUCUAAAACAUCAAGAGUGUGAAGUUCAAGGCAGGACGGAGCAACUGGAGAGGAAGGACGCGGGAUGCUGGGCUGGGCCACUUUCCAUCGGUGCCAUUGUGGCAGCAACAGGUGAAACGUGGAUGGGGUGUCUGGUUGCAGGGCGAAUGGAGUUCUUCACACCGUUCCUGCAUAUUUCUGCAAUUCGACGUGUCUUAAAAUUGUUUUUUAAUCCCAUGCAGCAUAACUUUGUGAAAAUGUUGAAGGAGACUGCUGUUGUGUAUUUCUAAGAAAAAGAGGAAGCUGAGGGUUGUCUGAUGACCUCAUCUCCUGGCAUAGGGCUUGGGGUUAAUCAGGUGACACGGACUACAAGUGAGCAAAAAAAAAAAAAAAAAAAAAAAAAGAUGAAAAAUCCCAGGAGAAACAGAAACACAUACAAGAAAGCAAAUGUAGGGGCGCCUGGGUGGCUCGGUUGUUACGCGUCUGCCUUCAGCUCAGGUCAUGAUCUCAGCCCCAUGCGGGGCUCCCUACUCGUGCGCUCUCUUGCUCUCUCUCUCUCUCUCUCUCAAUAUAUAUAUCUUUAAAAAUAUGUAGUAAAAAAAAAAAAAAAGAAAGUAAAUGUAAUCAUAGGACUCCACGUGCCUGGGCUGUCAACAUUUAGGUUGUCACAUGAUAAACCCUGAAUAUUUACCUAACCCAAAAUUAUGAUAUGACCAUCUAAGGAAGAUGCUACCAGGAAAAAAAACAUGGAGGGGAGAUUGCACAGGAAGGAAACUCUUCUUUUCCAAGGUAAGAAGGCAGGAGAUUAAAUCUAAAACUGAAAAUCAAGAAAUAAAAGGGAGUGGGGCGCAUGGCUGGCUCAGUCAGCAGAGCGUGCAACUUUGUUUGAUCUCAGGGACAUGAGUUUGAGCCCCACUUUGGGCGUAGAGUUUUCUUAAACAAACAAACAAACAGAAAGUAUAUUAAAAAAAAAAGAAAGAAAGAAAGAAAAGGAAAGGGAAAGAACUCAUUAUUAUGAUUUUUAUCCUGCCUUUUUAAAGAUGAUUGUAUAUGUUAUGUAUUAAAUCCAUUUCUAUAUACAUUGGUAUUUUAUAUAUUUUAUUCA